RNAcentral lists this transfer RNA (81 nucleotides) under Mycobacterium phage Pomar16. Its description in RNAcentral is "tRNA-Tyr". It matches the Rfam family "tRNA". Rfam says of the family: Transfer RNA (tRNA) molecules are approximately 80 nucleotides in length. The record is from RNAcentral. RNAcentral also lists the same sequence under 8 other names. Lineage: Duplodnaviria; Heunggongvirae; Uroviricota; Caudoviricetes.
CGCGAGAUACCCAAGCGGCAACGGGAUCUGACUGUAAAUCAGACGCUUCGGCUUCGCAGGUUCGAGUCCUGCUCUCGCGAC